UGCGUGUGUCUCUGUGUGUGUGUCUGUGUGUUGGUGUAUGUGUGUGUAUGUAGAAGUGGGGAGGGGUAGUAGGCGUCCAGCCUUCCCUUCUUUCAUCUCUGUCUCCUGUGUGGUGCGUCUGUGUGUGUGUCUGUGUGUGUAUGUAGAAGUGGGGAGGGGUAGUAGGGUUCCAGCCUUCCCUUCCUUCAUCUCUGUCUCCUGUGUGUGUGUGUGUGUGUCUGUGUGUUUGUGUAUGUGUGUGUAUGUAGAAGUGGGGAGGGGUAGCAGGGGUCCAGCCUUCCCUUCCUUCAUCUCUGUCUCCUGUGUGUGUGUGUGUGUGUGUCUGUGUGUGUGUGUGUGUGUCUGUGUGUGUAGAAGUGGGGAGGGGUAGUAGGGGUCCAGCCUCCCCUUCCUUCAUCUCUGUCUCCUGUGUGUGUGUGUGUGUGUG
This is a long non-coding RNA of Capra hircus (goat), 427 nucleotides long. RefSeq lists it as uncharacterized. The record is from RefSeq and is a predicted model, not a curated record. Lineage: Eukaryota; Metazoa; Chordata; Mammalia; Artiodactyla; Bovidae. The transcript is spliced from 3 exons.